UUGGCCCUGAACCAAAGCCGGCAGUUUGCUGAAGCUGUUGGUUUCAAGCAGGAGCCUAAAGAAUUCUCUACGGCCAUUUCUGCUGGCCAUUUCAGAACUUUGGAAGUGUGAUGGUCAAUUCAUUAGAAAGAAACAUGA
This 138-nucleotide small nucleolar RNA is filed under the name Prolemur simus (greater bamboo lemur). Lineage: Eukaryota; Metazoa; Chordata; Mammalia; Primates; Lemuridae. The record is from RNAcentral.